Molecule: transfer RNA, 71 nt
Rfam family: tRNA
About the family: Transfer RNA (tRNA) molecules are approximately 80 nucleotides in length. Their secondary structure includes four short double-helical elements and three loops (D, anti-codon, and T loops).
Source: Rfam
GCCCUUGUAGCUCAACGGUAGAGCGAUGGCUUUGAAAGCCAAAGAUCGGUGGUUCGAUCCUGCCCGGGACA